Melanotaenia boesemani (Boeseman's rainbowfish) is the source of this 203-nucleotide long non-coding RNA. RefSeq lists it as uncharacterized. The record is from RefSeq and is a predicted model, not a curated record. The transcript has 4 exons. Lineage: Eukaryota; Metazoa; Chordata; Actinopteri; Atheriniformes; Melanotaeniidae.
ACCAGGCUCAGUGCAGAAUCCUAUGUCCGUUUUAACAUUUAUUCAAAGCGCACUCCUCUCAUUGUUCCCAUUGGUAGAUGUCUACAUUACAUUCUUCCUAGUCAAAAUUACAUUCUUACUAGUCAGAAUUCUAAUUAAAGAUAUCUUCAAUCACAUUUUUGCUUGCAGAAACUGAAUUUUAAGAUAUCUACAAUUACAAAUGU